Molecule: ribosomal RNA, 2235 nt
Filed under: Triticum aestivum (bread wheat)
Lineage: Eukaryota; Viridiplantae; Streptophyta; Magnoliopsida; Poales; Poaceae
Description: partial small subunit ribosomal RNA
Source: RNAcentral
AUGGCGGGGUCGAUCCGCGUCACCAUGGAGGUCGGCGCCGACGGCGUCGCGCUCAUCACCAUCUGCAACCCGCCGGUCAAUGCUCUGCACCCCAUCAUCAUCGAGGGGCUAAAGGAGAAGUACGCCGAGGCCCUUGAUCGCGACGACGUCAAGGCCAUCGUGCUCACUGGCGCGGCUGGCAAGUUUUGUGGAGGCUUCGAUAUCAAUGUAUUCUCAAAAGUUCAUGAGACUGGAGACGUGUCCAUUUUGCCUGAGAUGUCUUUUGAGCUUGUGUCGAAUAUGAUGGAAGAUGGCAAAAAGCCUUCUGUCGCUGCAAUUCAAGGCCUUGCUCUUGGCGGUGGUCUAGAGUUGACUAUGGGUUGUCAUGCUCGGAUAGCUACCCCUGAAGCUCAACUUGGAUUACCAGAGCUAACUCUUGGCGUGAUUCCUGGAGCUGGAGGAACUCAGCGUCUACCGAGGCUUGUAGGUCUGCCCAAAGCAAUAGAAAUGAUGCUGCAAUCGAAGUUCAUUACAGCCAAGGAAGGAAAAGAACGUGGUUUUAUUGAUGCGCUUUGCUCCCCUGAUGAGUUGAUAAAAAUGUCACGCUCUUGGGCUCUGGAGAUUGCAAAUUACCGUAAACCUUGGAUAAGAUCUCUUGGCAGAACAGAUAGGCUUGGUUCACUGUCUGAAGCUCGUGCUGUAUUAAGUAUGGCAAGGCAGCAAGCAAAUAAGGUUGCAGCAAACAUGCCACAGCACCAGGCCUGCCUAGAUGUUAUUGAAGAAGGUGCACUAUAUGGAGGCCAUGCUGGUGUUGUGAAGGAAGCAAAGGUUUUCAAGGAGUUGGUAGUAUCAACCACAUCAAGGGCACUUGUCCAUGCAUUCUUCGCCCAGCGUUCCACCACUAAGGUACCAGGUGUUACUGAUAUUCAACUCAAACCUAGGAACAUAAGAAAAGUUGCUGUUAUUGGUGGUGGUCUUAUGGGUUCUGGAAUUGCAACAGCCCUUCUUGUUGGCAAUAUAUCUGUUGUCCUCAAGGAAGUAAACCCUCAAUUUUUGCAAAGGGGACAAAAAACAAUAGCAGGAAAUCUGGAGGGCCUUGUCAAAAGAGGCUCAUUGACCAAGGAUAAAAUGAGCAAGGCCAUAUCACUUCUCAAGGGUGCAUUGGAUUAUUCAGAUUUCAAGGAUGUUGAUAUGGUUAUUGAGGCUGUUAUUGAGAAGGUUCCUUUGAAGCAAUCAAUUUUUGCUGACAUUGAGAAAAUCUGCCCACCACAUUGCAUACUUGCAACGAACACUUCCACCAUCGAUUUGAAUGUUAUUGGCGAGAAGACAAAUUCUCAAGAUAGAAUUAUUGGGGCUCAUUUUUUCAGCCCUGCUCAUAUUAUGCCCUUGCUUGAAAUUGUCCGGACGGAAAAGACAUCACCACAAGCUAUCCUUGAUCUCAUUACAGUUGGGAAAAUAAUAAAGAAAAUCCCCGUUGUUGUUGGCAACUGCACAGGCUUUGCAGUAAAUCGUACAUUUUUCCCUUACACACAAGGUGCUCAGCUUCUAGUUAGUCUUGGCAUUGAUCUUUUCAGAAUUGAUCGAAUAAUAAGCAACUUUGGCAUGCCAAUGGGACCUUUUCAACUCCAAGAUUUAGCUGGAUAUGGAGUAGCCUUAGCAGUGAAGGAUAUCUAUGCAGCUGCCUUUGGAACACGGAAUUUUAACUCCGUUCUAGUGGAUUUGAUGGCGGAGACUGGGCGGCAGGGUAUGCUUCUGAACCUGCUUUUGCUCCAGCUAUGGGUUACAGUAAAUAGGAUGGGAAAGAGCAAUGGAAAAGGUUACUACCUUUAUGAGAAGGGUGCGAAGCCAAAGCCUGACCCUAAUGUUCAACAUGUGAUUGACGAGUACAGAAGACAGGCAAAGACAAUGCCGGGUGGAAAGCCUGUUACUUUAUCAGAUCAAGAUAUAUUGGAGAUGGUUUUCUUCCCAGUCGUUAAUGAGGCAUGCAGGGUCAUGGAUGAAAACGUGGUGAUCAGGGCUGCUGAUCUUGAUAUCGCAUCUGUUCUUGGGAUGGGCUUUCCUAAGUACAGGGGUGGCCUCAUCUUUUGGGCUGACACGGUGGGAGCAUCUUAUAUACAUUCAAAGCUUAGCAAGUGGGCUGAAAUGUACGGUGAUUUCUUCAAACCAUCAUCAUAUUUGGAGGAAAGAGCAAAAAGCGGCCGACCACUGGCCGCGCCACGGACGGCUCACCAAGCUUCGACGAGGUCACGCAUGUGA